UACGUAGGGUGCGAGCGUUGUCCGGAAUUAUUGGGCGUCAAGGGCUCGUAGGCGGUUUGUCGCGUCGGGCGUGAAAACUCAGGGCUUAACCCUGAGCCUGCUUCCGAUACGGGCAGACUAGAGGUAUGCAGGGGAGAAUGGAAUUCCUGGUGUAGCGGUGAAAUGCGCAGAUAUCAGGAGGAACACCGGUGGCGAAGGCGGUUCUCUGGGCAUUACCUGACGCUGAGGAGCGAAAGUGUGGGGAGCGAACAGG
This 253-nucleotide ribosomal RNA is filed under the name uncultured bacterium. Its description in RNAcentral is "partial 16S ribosomal RNA". It matches the Rfam family "Bacterial small subunit ribosomal RNA", at positions 524 to 776 of the family's 1533-position model. The record is from RNAcentral.